This 282-nucleotide small nuclear RNA is filed under the name Peromyscus maniculatus bairdii (prairie deer mouse). RNAcentral's name for it is "7SK RNA (ENSPEMG00000003463.2)". It matches the Rfam family "7SK RNA". Rfam says of the family: 7SK was discovered as an abundant small nuclear RNA in the mid-70s but a possible function has only recently been suggested. Two independent studies have found that 7SK RNA binds the CDK9/cyclin T complex (known as elongation factor P-TEFb). P-TEFb activates transcription by phosphorylating the C-terminal domain of RNA polymerase II. Lineage: Eukaryota; Metazoa; Chordata; Mammalia; Rodentia; Cricetidae. The record is from Rfam by way of RNAcentral.
AGGAGAGGGUGCUCUGACUGGGACAUCUGAUGGCGAGCAUUGAUUCAGAAUCUGGCUGGCCAGGCGAGUGCCCCCUUCUUCCUCUCGGCUCUAUGUGGAAGGUAGGGGGAAGGGAAUGCUCUUCCCCCACAGAGGAGGACCGUUAUUUGGUCAAGGGUCCACCAGCAGCUGCAUUACCCUGCUAGAGCCUUCCAAACAUGCUCUCAAGAUGGGGCAGUUCAGGGGUGCAAAUAGGCUCUUUGGAAAACAAAAUGAACCCUGUUGCAUCUCCUGCAACCAAAG